RNAcentral lists this ribosomal RNA (428 nucleotides) under Bacteroidota bacterium. Its description in RNAcentral is "Bacteroidetes bacterium partial 16S ribosomal RNA". It matches the Rfam family "Bacterial small subunit ribosomal RNA", at positions 355 to 776 of the family's 1533-position model. The record is from RNAcentral. Lineage: Bacteria; Pseudomonadati; Bacteroidota.
UAGGGAAUCUUCCGCAAUGGGCGAAAGCCUGACGGAGCAACGCCGCGUGAGUGAUGAAGGUCUUCGGAUCGUAAAACUCUGUUAUUAGGGAAGAAUAAAUGUGUAAGUAACUAUGCACGUCUUGACGGUACCUAAUCAGAAAGCCACGGCUAACUACGUGCCAGCAGCCGCGGUAAUACGUAGGUCCCGAGCGUUGUCCGGAUUUAUUGGGCGUAAAGCGAGCGCAGGCGGUUAGAAAAGUCUGAAGUGAAAGGCAGUGGCUCAACCAUUGUAGGCUUUGGAAACUGUUUAACUUGAGUGCAGAAGGGGAGAGUGGAAUUCAAUGUGUAGCGGUGAAAUGCGUAGAUAUAUGGAGGAACACCGGUGGCGAAAGCGGCUCUCUGGUCUGUAACUGACGCUGAGGUUCGAAAGCGUGGGUAGCAAACAGG